Molecule: ribosomal RNA, 245 nt
Filed under: uncultured bacterium
Lineage: Bacteria
Description: partial 16S ribosomal RNA
Rfam family: Bacterial small subunit ribosomal RNA
Source: RNAcentral
CACGUAGGAGACAAGCGUUAUCCGGAUUUACUGGGUGUAAAGCGCGUGUAGGCGGCUCUGUAAGUUGGAUGUGAAAGCUCCUGGCUUAACUGGGAGAGGUCGUUCAAUACUGCAGGGCUUGAGGGUAACAGAGGGGAGUGGAAUUCCGAGUGUAGCGGUAAAAUGCAUAGAUAUUCGGAAGAACACCAGUGGCGAAAGCGGCUCUCUGGGUUACAACUGACGCUCAGACGCGAAAGCUAGGGGAG